UAGAGAAGUGAAGCGGGAGUCCAUGCAGC
RNAcentral lists this non-coding RNA (29 nucleotides) under Rattus norvegicus (Norway rat). Lineage: Eukaryota; Metazoa; Chordata; Mammalia; Rodentia; Muridae. The record is from RNAcentral.